This 433-nucleotide ribosomal RNA is filed under the name uncultured bacterium. RNAcentral describes it as "partial 16S ribosomal RNA". It matches the Rfam family "Bacterial small subunit ribosomal RNA", at positions 29 to 507 of the family's 1533-position model. The record is from RNAcentral.
AACGAACGCUGGCGGCAUGCCUAACACAUGCAAGUCGAACGAGACCUUCGGGUCUAGUGGCGCACGGGUGCGUAACGCGUGGGAACCUGCCCUUAGGUUCGGAAUAACUCCCCGAAAGGGGUGCUAAUACCGGAUAAUGUCUUCGGACCAAAGAUUUAUCGCCUUUGGAUGGGCCCGCGUUGGAUUAGCUAGUUGGUAGGGUAAAAGCCUACCAAGGCGACGAUCCAUAGCUGGUCUGAGAGGAUGAUCAGCCACACUGGGACUGAGACACGGCCCAGACUCCUACGGGAGGCAGCAGUGGGGGAUAUUGGAGAAUGGGCGAAAGCCUGAUCCAGCAAUGCCGCGUGAGUGAUGAAGGCCUUAGGGUUGUAAAGCUCUUUUACCCGGGAUGAUAAUGACAGUACCGGGAGAAUAAGCUCCGGCUAACUCCGUG